UGCGUGCAGCGUGGAGAUUGUGGUCCCCA
RNAcentral lists this non-coding RNA (29 nucleotides) under Homo sapiens (human). Lineage: Eukaryota; Metazoa; Chordata; Mammalia; Primates; Hominidae. The record is from RNAcentral.